GAUGAAGAACGCAGCGAAAUGCGAUAAGUAAUGUGAAUUGCAGAAUUCAGUGAAUCAUCGAAUCUUUGAACGCACAUUGCGCCCUCUGGUAUUCCGGAGGGCAUGCCUGUUCGAGCGUCAUUAUAACCACUCAAGCUCUCGCUUGGUAUUGGGGUUCGCGGUUCCGCGGCCCCUAAAAUCAGUGGCGGUGCCUGUCGGCUCUACGCGUAGUAAUACUCCUCGCGAUUGAGUCCGGUAGGUUUACUUGCCAGCAACCCCCAAUUUUUACAGGUUGACCUCGGAUCAGGUAGGGAUACCCGCUGAACUUAAGCAUAUCAAUAAGCGGAGGA
RNAcentral lists this unclassified non-coding RNA (329 nucleotides) under soil metagenome. Its description in RNAcentral is "partial contains 5.8S ribosomal RNA, internal transcribed spacer 2, and large subunit ribosomal RNA". The stretch from base 1 to 120 matches the Rfam family "5.8S ribosomal RNA", at positions 35 to 154 of the family's 154-position model. The record is from RNAcentral.